This 986-nucleotide long non-coding RNA is filed under the name Gopherus agassizii (Agassiz's desert tortoise). Its description in RNAcentral is "lncRNA (ENSGAGG00000012862.1)". Lineage: Eukaryota; Metazoa; Chordata; Testudines; Testudinidae. The record is from RNAcentral.
CUCCUGCUAUUAUGGCAGCCGGUCCUGAGGGACACAUGGGAUCCCAGUCCCACUGCAGGGCUCUUGUCCAGACUUGUCUUCUAAGGAAUAGCCCCUAUUAAAGACCAACAAUCACUGUUUCAGGUAAUUGAAUUAAAACAUGAUAUAGAUCACCAUCAACUGAUAAAUAUGUGCCAGGAAUUGGAAUACAAAUUGGUGCAGAUCUGGAGUUUACCUGCCCUGCAGUUGCUUCACCAGAUCAAUAUCUCAAAUGAAACCAUUGUUUUCACCAGGAUUAACAGUUCACUGUUCCUUGGCCUGCAUUCUGGAGCUGUAAAUGUCUUUGAUGUUCAUGUUGAAGAAGGCCCAGUGGAUCUGUUGGAGAAAAAGCCAGAGGGAAAUGAAGAACCAGAUAUCACUCAUGAUUCUGAAAAUGCUCACAAGGGCCCUGUGGUAGCAGUGGAUGCCUGCAAGACUCUCUCUCUCUUUCUAAGCUGUGGUGCGGACUACAUGGUGAAACUCUGGGAUAUUCACAAGAAUUUGCUAGCCAACAUUUUUCUUGAUAACACUCUCAGCUCUGCUUGUUUCCUAAAUGGUUCUGGAGAUAUUUUAGUGGCUUUCAAAAAUGAUCUUUACAUCUUGCCUCACAGUAAGGCACUGGGUAUCUCAGCGACAGAUACAGAUGUCUCUGGAAUCUCAGCAACAGAGUCCUUCAUUUAUGAAAACCAAGCUUUAAAUUAUCAAAAGGAAGGAAAAACUGAUGUCUCCAACAUCACUGGCAUGGACUCUUAUCUGGUGCCUUACAUGGGAUUUAAUUUCACCAGUAACUUCACAACAGAAUUGCUGGACCGAGAAAAGUCUCUGAAAGAAUGAUCCUGACUGAUGAUAUGAAAUACUUGCCUGGCCCCAGACCUGCAGGGGCUGUGGCUUUGGAAAUACCUGAGUUUGGAAUCUCCCCAUGUUCUUCUCCACCCAGUGUAUUUUCAGAGGCCCAGCCUGAGGAAGAG